GUGGAUUAGAUACCCUGGUAGUCCACGCCCUAAACGAUGUCAACUAGGUGUUGGGUGGGUAAAACCAUUUAGUACCGUAGCUAACGCGUGAAGUUGACCGCCUGGGGAGUACGGCCGCAAGGUUAAAACUCAAAGGAAUUGACGGGGACCCGCACAAGCGGUGGAUGAUGUGGAUUAAUUCGAUGCAACGCGAAGAACCUUACCUACCCUUGACAUGCUCGGAAUCCUGAAGAGAUUUGGGAGUGCCCGAAAGGGAGCCGGGACACAGGUGCUGCAUGGUCGUCGACAGCU
RNAcentral lists this ribosomal RNA (291 nucleotides) under uncultured bacterium. RNAcentral's name for it is "partial 16S ribosomal RNA". It matches the Rfam family "Bacterial small subunit ribosomal RNA", at positions 773 to 1060 of the family's 1533-position model. The record is from RNAcentral.